CAUAUUGUUAGUGCACUGGCUUGUUGCACCUUGACGUUUUGAUAGAGGUGCCUAAAAGCUUCCUACAUUACUACGUUUCUAUCUCAAUCUUCUGCGUAAGCGCACUGAGAGUUACUAGAUUCUUGCAAUUU
This 131-nucleotide non-coding RNA is filed under the name Polytomella parva. Lineage: Eukaryota; Viridiplantae; Chlorophyta; Chlorophyceae; Chlamydomonadales; Chlamydomonadaceae. The record is from RNAcentral.